RNAcentral lists this unclassified non-coding RNA (283 nucleotides) under Hevea brasiliensis (rubber tree). The record is from RNAcentral. Lineage: Eukaryota; Viridiplantae; Streptophyta; Magnoliopsida; Malpighiales; Euphorbiaceae.
AAUCCCAAUUAUAGAAGAACUUCUGGAUGAAUUAGGAGGGGCACAGUUCUUCACCAAACUUGAUUUGCUUGCAGGAUAUUAUCAGGUUGCCAUGUACCCGCCGGACAUUGAAAAGACGGCCUUCCGAACACAUCAUGGCCAUUUUGAAUUCCUGGUAAUGCCGUUCGGGUUGUCAAAUGCCCCAUCCACUUUCCAAUCCUUGAUGAAUGAGGUAUUCCGGGAUUAUUUACGCAAAUUCGUUCUGGUUUUUUUUGACGACAUUCUGGUUUUUAGCAGUUCUUGG